RNAcentral lists this long non-coding RNA (846 nucleotides) under Gossypium barbadense (sea-island cotton). Its description in RNAcentral is "long non-coding RNA (GBAR_LNC022163)". Lineage: Eukaryota; Viridiplantae; Streptophyta; Magnoliopsida; Malvales; Malvaceae. The record is from RNAcentral.
GGCAAGCAAGUACUAUAACCGCUCCAUUCCCACUAUUGAAAAGAAAAAAUCCACCAUGCCCUGCAUCCACCAUUCAAAAGAAAAAAAGUUUACUUCAUUUGAAGCGGAUCGAUUUGAAAUCCAUCGGGCAAUUCGAGUUUUGCCAUCUAUGAACCCAAUUAGGUCUAUUUGCAAAAAUUAUACUAUUUUGAAUAUUUUAGAAUUACUAAUUAUUAAUAUAAGAUAAUAUCAACUUAUUUAAUGAUUUUAAUACUGUAAUACCCGAUUUUGGCCUGGGUAAAAGGCCCAAAUUACAAAGAGGCCUAUGUGGCCCAAAACCCGAAGUACAACAGGGGCCCAAAGCUCGGUGGCCCAAAUCAUUUGCAAAAACCCUAGGGUUUCUGAGGAAGCCCUUUGCGCCGCAGCCACAAGCGUCCCCAUACCUGCGCAUCAAAGAGAAACAAAAAAGGAAACACAAUCAAAUAUUCGAAAAUCAAAUAAUGAAGCAGAUUUGUUUCUUCUUUAGAUUGGUUUCUGCUAUUAUGUUUUCAUUUGGCUAUAAAAAGCCAUCAAAAAUACUGUAAAAUGGGGGGAUUGACAUAUACUGGAUACAAAAAAAAAGCAAUAAAAUACAUCAGUUUUCUUUAAGGUGAUUCUCAAAGUUUUUUUAUUUUUUAUUUUUAUUUAUUUUUUGAUCUGUUCUUGAAUAAAAGAAAAAGAAAAGAAAGAAAUUCUUACCUUCAUCCAGCGUCGUCGAAACCUCGUUUACUCCGUCUAAAUCGGGGUCUGAUGAAGUUUUGGGUUUGAAGGCGGCAGAAGAGUGUGAGAGGAUUUAGUUUUUUUUAUGGUUUAAUGAGAAUGGAAAAG